Molecule: long non-coding RNA, 4226 nt
Organism: Oreochromis aureus
Lineage: Eukaryota; Metazoa; Chordata; Actinopteri; Cichliformes; Cichlidae
Source: Ensembl
UUUUAUGUCCCUUUUUUUCCCUUUAAGACAUUGAGAUCAGUGUGGUUGACGAUGAAUCAGAGUCAUCGGUACAGCCAAUCCCUCUUGCCCUCCGGACAUCGCCAGUUUCAUUGUCAGACCAUCCAUCGUCCCCAGCUUCUACCAGUUCAUCAGAUUCAACUAUGAUCCUCAAAAGUACAAAGAACAGGAAGAAGGGCCUACAAGAGCUUGAUCGCGAUGAAGCGAAGCAGGUCAAAAGCAAAGCCUAAAGCAAUUUCCAGUGCUUAACAGCAUUUUACAAACACUAACUUUUUUGUAUAAUUUGCUUCAGUUUAAUCAGUAUGACUUUUUUUUAAACAGAAGGUGUGUAGUGUCCUGAGCUCAAACCCAAAGGGUGAAGAAAUUUUCAAUGAAUACGACAAAACUAAAACACUGUCAGAUCCAACUCGUCGACAAAUGGUCAACAUACUGGUUGCAGAUAUGAUAGAAUCACACGGGUAAGUAUUCUUUGAUGAUCAUAAAAACAAUUGUCAAGUGAGCAGAAGAGCAAUACACUUUGUUUUGUUUUUGAAAGGAGGAUUCCGCCCAUAAGUGUUCGGACUAACUAUGCACUGGGGAUUGCAACGCUUUUUCCAUAUCUCCAAGAUCCUUACUCAAAAAAUGGUUAUGAACAUUACUAUGAUCCGGAGGCUAAUACUGGCUAUCUUGCUUGGAGACUCAAGACUGUCCAACGCAAUACCUAUGAUGGUGCUAGUGGGUGUCCCAGGCCAAACUUCCAGAACAGUCCAACAACCCGAAGAGAAUCUUUGUUUGUUAGUGGACAGCUUUUUGGUGAUGAGUGCAGAGAGGCUCUGUCUGUUAUUAGACACUCAACAGAUAGGUCUGUGGUUAAAGAGAAGAUGAAAGCUACUUUUGAAUAUAGACAGAAGCUGGUACAUGACCCAGAUGCAACAUCAUCAAUCUUGGAUGUCUUCCCUCGUUUCCUUGAUACACCGGGGUUGAUUGAUCAGGAUUUUGCAAUGAUGCUUGGAGAUGAGGCCUCUGGAAGAUUUCUUACAAAGUGGUCUUCGUAUUUCAAGCAAAAAAUCAUCGCAGAAAGCCAAAGUCUUCCAUCAAGUCCUUGUGUUGAGGAGUUACGAGCAUCUUUUGAAACGGAGGCUUCAAAUGACUGGGGCUGGGAUAGUGACAUGGCAGCUCUUCUGUUGUUGCUGCAUCUCCUGCCUCCAACAUCAAAAGGCCACAAAAAAACAGCAAAAAUUAGCUCUGCACAGGCAGCCAAUCAUCUUGUGAGAUUUGUCAAGGAAGGAGUCAGCCUCACUACUUUCCUGGAGAAAGCUAACACCAGGCAGCCCUUCCUUCUCUGCAUUGGUGAGCAAAAGAAGAACAUUCAGAGGUUCUUCAUCAUUGUAGACCAGAAAGCUAUCCCAUGUGAUGCUCCAACUUCAGUGGCUGCUUUUGAUGGGCUUUUCAAAGCACACUUUGUCUUCAGCCUCUCAUAUGAUGAAGCUCUUUCCAGUUUCUACACCUUCAUUCAAACCACAAUCUACAACAUUGAUGUUGGAAACACAAAAGAAAGCCCUCGAGUCAAGGAACUGAGAGCACGUCUGCUGCGAGACCGUUAAAUGCCCACAAGGUCCACACGCUUUUAGGAGGAUUUAAAAAAAACAAAACUGUUUGACAAUGUUCAAAUGCUUUGUUUGUAAAAUGCACCACAAAAAUUGUUCAGCUCUUUGUCAACAUUUAAAAUUUCAUCAUGGUUUAUAUCCAAACAAAAAUCUGCGUUUAAAAUGUGGAGAGCAGGGAUGUCUUUCAUCUUUUUGUACUUACAAUGGCUUUAGAAAACAUCUUCAUAAUGUACAUAGUCAUUAUCACGAUAAACAUGUAGGGAUGGAACAGGAAGUUGCCCAACAAACACAUUCUCUAGGAGACUCUUUUAGUGAUCAACCAUCUACUUCUGCAUCUGUAUCACAGGUUCCCACUGUUAUUUCACAGGACUCGCUUGUUGGAAUGUGUGGAUCUAUUGUCGCUCACUUACAAGCUUCUGGUCUUACUGAAAGUGCUGUUCAAACAAUAAUUUGUUCUGUUGAGGAAGUUGUCAGUGAUGUUCAGAGUCAAGCAAGAGAAGUAGUACUCCAAACAUUUUCCCCUGAUAGUAAGGAAUCAGACAUUUACAAAAGAGUUGAGCACAAUUUAAACCAAUUAGAUAACCCCUUUUCAACAUUUAACACUGAGAAAAAAAGACAGAAAUAUUACGAUGAAAAAUGGGAAAUAGUUGAGCCUAAAGAAUUUGUACUUGGUGUAAGAUUGGAUACACGUAGACAUAGAACUACAGGGGUUUAUAGCGAAACACCUGUCAGAGACAAAUACAUGUAUGUGCCCAUUUUAGGUACGAUACAUUCAAUUUUCAAGAAUAAAGACAUUAGAGAAUGCUUCUUGCAUGAGAAACAAACACAAGCUGGGUUAUACAAAGACAUUAAUGAUGGAUCAUAUUUCCAAAACCAUCCUCUGUUUUCACAACAGAAAUAUGCUCUACAGAUUUUACUGUAUUACGAUGAUUUUGAAACUGCUAACCCAUUAGGUUCGAAGAAAGGGAUCCACAAACUGGGCUGUAUUUAUUUCACUAUAAAAAACCUCCCACCAAAGGUUAACUCUGUGCUGAUGAAUGUACAUCUAGCUGCUCUUUUCUACACAGAAGACUUAAAGAAAUAUGGUUUUGAAGAAAUACUAAAGCCUUUGAUUGAUGACUUGAAAAUUUUAGAAACUAAAGGAAUCCUGCUUCCCUUUACUGAAGAGCCAGUGUUUGGUUCUGUUGUUCAAGUUACAGGAGACAAUCUUGCUUUAAAUGGCUUACUAGGUUUUGUUGAAUCGUUUAGUGCAACAAACUGGUGUAGGUUUUGUUUAGUAAACAAGGAAGAAAUUCAGUCUGUGUUUAAUGAAGACAGUUCGGACAUUGUUCUGCGCUCCAGAGAACUUCAUAUUGAACACUGUAAUGCAUUAAGUGAAGACCCUGCUCUCACUUCCGUUUAUGGAGUUAAAAGAUCUUGUGUGCUCAAUUCAUUGGAAUAUUUUCACAGCACUGACAAUUAUGCAGUUGAUAUAAUGCACGAUUUAUUGGAAGGAGUUGUGCAGUAUGAGCUCAAACUUUUUUUUCAAUACAUGAUCAAAAAUGGCUACAUCUCCAUUAGCACAUUACUUGACAGGAUACAGACGUUUAAUUAUGGUUUUGUAGAGCGUAAAAAUAAACCAAGUGGGUUAAAAAUAGAUGAUAACAGCAAACACUUAGGUUUAAAUGCCAUUCAGUCAUUAUGUAUCCUACGCAAUACUCCACUAAUUUUUGGAGACAUAGUUGAGCGGGACAAUAGCCACUGGAAUUUUGUUCUCCUUUUGUUGCAAAUUGUUGAUAUUGUGUUGUCCCCAGUCCUUACUGAUGGCAUGAUAUGUUACUUGAAACAUCUCAUCUGUGAUCACCAUAACAUGUUUAAAAACUUGUUCCCUGGUAGAAAAUUAAUUCCUAAACACCACCUAAUGAUUCACUAUCCAAGGUGUAUUAAGAAAAUUGGCCCUCUUAUCCACAUAUGGUGUAUGCGUUUCGAAGCAAAACACAAUUUUUUUAAAAGGGCUGUCAAAAAUUUUAAAAACCUUACAAAAUCUCUAGUAAAGCAACAUCAGCGUCAAUUGGCCUUUUACUAUGAAAACUAUUGUUUUAAAAGAUUUCAGUUCGGUCCUUUAAAAUUAAAAAGAGUUGAUAGCAUGGAAGGUGGACAUUUGUUGUGCGAGUCAUUAAAUGUAGAUUCAUGUGUAAAUGUUUCAACUACAAAUUGGGUUAGAAAUUAUGGCACUGAAUACCAGGUUGGUUUGUUUUUAUGCACUGGAAUGUCCAGUGAUCUACCAGUCUUUAAGAAAAUUUGCUAUAUCAUAAUACAUGAACAACAUGCAUUCAUAAUAGGUUCUACUGUCAACACCUUGUACUUUGAUGAACACUUUCAUGCAUACUGCAUUGAAGAAAAAAGUAAUGAGCAUGCUGUUAUUUCAAUUGACCAGCUCACCUAUGUUAGACCCUUUGACAAGCAAUAUUCUAAUGAAAAUGAGAACAUAUACAUGAUUCCAUAUUGUUACAUGUUUUAGAAACUGUUUUGAAGUUGUGGUGCAUAUAAAAAUAAAUCUUUUUCAGAAGAACAUUGGCUCUUUUUAAUAUUUUUUCCCCAAGGAAUUUCUAAAAGAUCAGAACAUUAAAAUUUACACUUUUU